RNAcentral lists this ribosomal RNA (465 nucleotides) under uncultured Klebsiella sp. Its description in RNAcentral is "bacterial SSU rRNA". It matches the Rfam family "Bacterial small subunit ribosomal RNA", at positions 338 to 795 of the family's 1533-position model. The record is from RNAcentral. Lineage: Bacteria; Pseudomonadati; Pseudomonadota; Gammaproteobacteria; Enterobacterales; Enterobacteriaceae.
CCUACGGGUGGCUGCAGUAGGGAAUCUUCCGCAAUGGACGAAAGUCUGACGGAGCAACGCCGCGUGUGUGAAGAAGGCCUUCGGGUUGUAAAGCACUUUCAGCGGGGAGGAAGGCGGUGAGGUUAAUAACCUCAUCGAUUGACGUUACCCGCAGAAGAAGCACCGGCUAACUCCGUGCCAGCAGCCGCGGUAAUACGGAGGGUGCAAGCGUUAAUCGGAAUUACUGGGCGUAAAGCGCACGCAGGCGGUCUGUCAAGUCGGAUGUGAAAUCCCCGGGCUCAACCUGGGAACUGCAUUCGAAACUGGCAGGCUAGAGUCUUGUAGAGGGGGGUAGAAUUCCAGGUGUAGCGGUGAAAUGCGUAGAGAUCUGGAGGAAUACCGGUGGCGAAGGCGGCCCCCUGGACAAAGACUGACGCUCAGGUGCGAAAGCGUGGGGAGCAAACAGGAUUAGAUACCCCAGUAGUC